UACGAAGGGGGCUAGCGUUGCUCGGAAUCACUGGGCGUAAAGGGUGCGUAGGCGGGUCUUUAAGUCAGGGGUGAAAUCCUGGAGCUCAACUCCAGAACUGCCUUUGAUACUGAGGAUCUUGAGUUCGGGAGAGGUGAGUGGAACUGCGAGUGUAGAGGUGAAAUUCGUAGAUAUUCGCAAGAACACCAGUGCCGAAGGCGGCUCACUGGCCCGAUACUGACGCUGAGGCACGAAAGCGUGGGGAGCAAACAGG
Molecule: ribosomal RNA, 253 nt
Filed under: uncultured bacterium
Lineage: Bacteria
Description: partial 16S ribosomal RNA
Rfam family: Bacterial small subunit ribosomal RNA
Source: RNAcentral